ACGCAGCUGCCUCAGUAACCCGUA
Molecule: non-coding RNA, 24 nt
Filed under: Arabidopsis thaliana (thale cress)
Lineage: Eukaryota; Viridiplantae; Streptophyta; Magnoliopsida; Brassicales; Brassicaceae
Source: RNAcentral